AAGUUACAUUUAAAAUGAUAUGAUUACUUCAGCUCUUGAGAUAUAAAGACAUGGGCCUACAGGAAAGGGAAAUAACUCUUGUGUGUGCGUGUGUGUGUGUGGUGUGUGUGACGCAAGCUUGUGUUUAAUGUUUGUGUGACGUGUGUGUGAGAUACCGUUGUCUGGGCGACUAGUUAACUUCACAAAUGCUAAACGAAUGAAAACAACACUCCUUUGUUGACAGAGGAUCAAACUUAGUUGAGUAUCAAAUGCCCAAACGUCAGUCACUCGUCAGAUGACACAGAUGCCUGCUGACAGUGGGUAUAAACAGCAAAACUAGAUAAUGAUGUUUAAUAGAAGCACUGCUGUGAAAACUAUUGUUGUUUAAUUAACCUCGACACCACUGGCAGUUGGAGUAUAAGUGAUGGGUUGACUGUCCUGAUGUCAGACUACUGCUAGACUGUGAUGCUGAUGUUGAUGUUUAUGGUCACGUGCUGAUGAGGUGAGAGAACAGGUGCUGGCUCCCUAGCAAACAGCUGAGGCACAGUGUGUUUGUCAGUCGUGUGAAGAAUCUGGUUAUACUGAGUACAUCAUGGUCUCCAUUUGUGAUACAGCACACCCACCCUCGCACAUACAGAUGACUCGGCAGCUGACAGACACGUUGUUAGUACGGCAACAAGAUCGAUAACCGUGGCGACUCCACUGCUCUCUUCAAGACGAAAUGAAUUCAAUUAAUAAGGGACAACUCCUUCCACGUCCUGACAUGGCCACUGAUGUGCAGGCAGCGAAUUUGUCUGCCCCUGCAGCCUCCGACAGCAUCGCCAGGGACGUUAGGGACACCACUUCCCUAUUAUUAGUAUCCUUAUUUACACAGAUUCUUUCUCUCUCUCACCCUUCUUUCCUUCCUAUCAGCUGCCCCCCUUCUCUCCCACAUCCGCUUUUAGAGGAGAUGAAAAAAUAAAGCAGAAUAUUUUCACUGACGUCUGAAAAAUAUCACGUGAUCUGAAACCAGCAAGAAUCGCGAUGUAGUGCGAGAGCAUUAAAAGCAAACACCUCGGCUAAAGAGGAGAAGGUAUAAUCUCCGACUGAAUGUGUAAAACAUGUUUGCAGCUAGUCAACUGUUUGAGGUAUGUUUUUAUUGUCAAGUAACAUCCGGCCGGUAGUGUGCGACAAACAAGAUUGAUUUAGAGGAUAUUUAAAAAUAAUAUUUGAGGCUAGGCAUGAAGAAAAAUAGUUUUUGGCGCACGGCACGUGAGCUAAUUGUGCGAUCUGCCUGCACUGACACCUGGGGCUUUAGCUAUGGAGGACUAUCGGUGCUUCCUGUGUUUUGAGGGCUUGUGGUGUUGUUUUUGUUUUCUUCUCUUCCUUAAUCUCCCGGCUGCAGGAAACAUCUCAGAGGCUUUACUUGUGCGUGUAGCUCGAGCGAGAAAGGCAAGAUGGCGGCCGUAACUCUCCGGGUCUGCGUCAGGCUCCUGCUUCCUGUCCUCUGUGGAUGCUUCACUACAGCUUAGUUAGGGUCCUCGCACGCAAUCUCAUUCACUAAGAAAGAAGCUGUUGUUUCUAUCAAAACUCUGGUUUCUAAGGAAACUAGUCUCGAUGGAGGAAAAAAUACAUUUACUUCUUUGGCUUCGGUAAACAAAUUUGAACUCGCUUUCUUUACAAG
Pomacea canaliculata is the source of this 1642-nucleotide long non-coding RNA. RefSeq lists it as uncharacterized. The transcript is spliced from 4 exons. NCBI's taxonomy places the organism in Eukaryota, Metazoa, Mollusca, Gastropoda, Architaenioglossa, Ampullariidae. The record is from RefSeq and is a predicted model, not a curated record.